This 730-nucleotide ribosomal RNA is filed under the name uncultured bacterium. Its description in RNAcentral is "bacterial SSU rRNA". It matches the Rfam family "Bacterial small subunit ribosomal RNA", at positions 771 to 1501 of the family's 1533-position model. The record is from RNAcentral.
AACAGGAUUAGAUACCCUGGUAGUCCACGCCGUAAACGAUGUCGACUUGGAGGUUGUGCCCUUGAGGCGUGGCUUCCGGAGCUAACGCGUUAAGUCGACCGCCUGGGGAGUACGGCCGCAAGGUUAAAACUCAAAUGAAUUGACGGGGGCCCGCACAAGCGGUGGAGCAUGUGGUUUAAUUCGAUGCAACGCGAAGAACCUUACCUACUCUUGACAUCCAGAGAACUUAGCAGAGAUGCUUCGGUGCCUUCGGGAACUCUGAGACAGGUGCUGCAUGGCUGUCGUCAGCUCGUGUUGUGAAAUGUUGGGUUAAGUCCCGCAACGAGCGCAACCCUUACCCUUUGUUGCCAGCGGUUAGGCCGGGAACUCAAAGGAGACUGCCAGUGAUAAACUGGAGGAAGGUGGGGAUGACGUCAAGUCAUCAUGGCCCUUACGAGUAGGGCUACACACGUGCUGCAAUGGCAUAUACAAAGAGAAGCGACCUCGCGAGAGCAAGCGGACCUCAUAAAGUAUGUCGUAGUCCGGAUUGGAGUCUGCAACUCGACUCCAUGAAGUCGGAAUCGCUAGUAAUCGUGGAUCAGAAUGCCACGGUGAAUACGUUCCCGGGCCUUGUACACACCGCCCGUCACACCAUGGGAGUGGGUUGCAAAAGAAGUAGGUAGCUUAACCUUCGGGAGGGCGCUUACCACUUUGUGAUUCAUGACUGGGGUGAAGUCGUAACAAGGUAACC